This 720-nucleotide ribosomal RNA is filed under the name uncultured bacterium. RNAcentral describes it as "bacterial SSU rRNA". It matches the Rfam family "Bacterial small subunit ribosomal RNA", at positions 769 to 1500 of the family's 1533-position model. The record is from RNAcentral.
CGCCCUUAUUAGAUACCCUGGUAGUCCACGCAGUAAACGAUGAAUGCUCGCUGCCCUACCCUUCGGGAUUGGGUGGCCAAGCGAAAGCGUUAAGCAUUCCACCUGGGGAGUACGCCGGCAACGGUGAAACUCAAAGGAAUUGACGGGGGCCCGCACAAGCGGAGGAACAUGUGGUUUAAUUCGAUGAUACGCGAGGAACCUUACCCGGGCUCAAACGUCAUUGGACGGUCUGUGAAAGCAGACUUUCCUUCGGGACCGAUGACGAGGUGCUGCAUGGUUGUCGUCAGCUCGUGCCGUGAGGUGUCGGCUUAAGUGCCAUAACGAGCGCAACCCCUACCGACAGUUGCUAACAAGCAGCGUUGAGGACUCUGUCGGGACUGCCAGCGCAAGCUGUGAGGAAGGCGGGGAUGACGUCAAAUCAGCACGGCCCUUACGUCCGGGGCGACACACGUGUUACAAUGGCAGGUACAGCGGGAAGCCAUGCGGCGACGCAGAGCGGAACCCGAAAACCUGUCUCAGUUCGGAUUGGAGUCUGCAACCCGACUCCAUGAAGCUGGAUUCGCUAGUAAUCGCGCAUCAGCCACGGCGCGGUGAAUACGUUCCCGGGCCUUGUACACACCGCCCGUCAAGCCAUGGGAGCCGGGAGUGCCUGAAGUACGUGAGCGCAAGCAGCGUCCUAAGGCAAAACCGGUGACUGGGGCUAAGUCGUAACAAGGUACC